GACGAACGCUGGCGGCGUGCCUAAUACAUGCAAGUAGAACGCUGAGGCUUGGUGCUUGCACCGAGCGGAUGAGUUGCGAACGGGUGAGUAACGCGUAGGUAACCUGCCUGGUAGCGGGGGAUAACUAUUGGAAACGAUAGCUAAUACCGCAUAAAAUGGAUUAUCGCAUGAUAAUCCAUUGAAAGGUGCAAAUGCAUCACUACCAGAUGGACCUGCGUUGUAUUAGCUAGUUGGUGGGGUAACGGCUCACCGAGGCGACGAUACAUAGCCGACCUGAGAGGGUGAUCGGCCACACUGGGACUGAGACACGGCCCAGACUCCUACGGGAGGCAGCAGUAGGGAAUCUUCGGCAAUGGACGGAAGUCUGACCGAGCAACGCCGCGUGAGUGAAGAAGGUUUUCGGAUCGUAAAGCUCUGUUGUAAGAGAAGAACGAGUGUGAGAGUGGAAAGUUCACACUGUGACGGUAUCUUACCAGAAAGG
RNAcentral lists this ribosomal RNA (481 nucleotides) under Streptococcus sp. oral taxon 070. RNAcentral's name for it is "bacterial SSU rRNA". It matches the Rfam family "Bacterial small subunit ribosomal RNA", at positions 28 to 491 of the family's 1533-position model. The record is from RNAcentral. Lineage: Bacteria; Bacillati; Bacillota; Bacilli; Lactobacillales; Streptococcaceae.